Molecule: ribosomal RNA, 678 nt
Filed under: uncultured bacterium
Lineage: Bacteria
Description: bacterial SSU rRNA
Rfam family: Bacterial small subunit ribosomal RNA
Source: RNAcentral
UGCUGUUUCGCUGACGAGUGGCGGACGGGUGAGUAAUGUCUGGGAAACUGCCUGAUGGAGGGGGAUAACUACUGGAAACGGUAGCUAAUACCGCAUAAUGUCGCAAGACCAAAGAGGGGGACCUUCGGGCCUCUUGCCAUCGGAUGUGCCCAGAUGGGAUUAGCUAGUAGGUGGGGUAACGGCUCACCUAGGCGACGAUCCCUAGCUGGUCUGAGAGGAUGACCAGCCACACUGGAACUGAGACACGGUCCAGACUCCUACGGGAGGCAGCAGUGGGGAAUAUUGCACAAUGGGCGCAAGCCUGAUGCAGCCAUGCCGCGUGUAUGAAGAAGGCCUUCGGGUUGUAAAGUACUUUCAGCGGGGAGGAAGGGAGUAAAGUUAAUACCUUUGCUCAUUGACGUUACCCGCAGAAGAAGCACCGGCUAACUCCGUGCCAGCAGCCGCGGUAAUACGGAGGGUGCAAGCGUUAAUCGGAAUUACUGGGCGUAAAGCGCACGCAGGCGGUUUGUUAAGUCAGAUGUGAAAUCCCCGGGCUCAACCUGGGAACUGCAUCUGAUACUGGCAAGCUUGAGUCUCGUAGAGGGGGGUAGAAUUCCAGGUGUAGCGGUGAAAUGCGUAGAGAUCUGGAGGAAUACCGGUGGCGAAGGCGGCCCCCUGGACGAAGACUGACGCUCAGGU